UAAGACAUUAUAAAUUAAGGUGAUAGAUCACCAAACAGAGACGCCCAUAGUUUUAGUCUUCCUCCUUUCCCAUAAAACCCAAUCGUAUCUGUCCGCCUAAAAAGAAUCAAGGACGUCAAUGGGUGCGUCGGCGACGAUGAUACCGGCCGCCGUAGUGACGAUGAUCCUGCUGCUCAAUAUUCCAAGUAGUUGCGAAGCUCUUACAACUUUCGAACCACUUCUCAGCAACCACACUUCAUAUGGCGAACAAUUGAUGGUCGGAGAAGAAGAUAUGGACAUGGAAUUUAUAAUGGAGUCACACAUAAGCCGGAUUCUAGCGUCAUCUCAAAACUUCCAAACAACCUCCACCGUAGACGCUAACAAAGCUUCUGGAGGCGGUUGUGGCCGACCACCGCGCUACGACAGUUGUCUCGGCCAGAAAAGAAAUAAUCCCCCGCCCCCAAACUGUGGCACCUACAAUCGCGCAAAUCCCUGUUAGAUAAUUUUAAUCUUCACCUUCUCUAUUAUUCACCUUUUUUUUUUUUCUUUCUCUUACCAUUUAUGAUUAUACAAUUUCUCACUCAAAUCUUUACCCUUAAAUCUUAAUAAUGCAAAAUAUUGUACUUCCUCAA
Cucumis melo (muskmelon) is the source of this 611-nucleotide long non-coding RNA. RefSeq lists it as uncharacterized. The record is from RefSeq and is a predicted model, not a curated record. The transcript has 2 exons. NCBI's taxonomy places the organism in Eukaryota, Viridiplantae, Streptophyta, Magnoliopsida, Cucurbitales, Cucurbitaceae.